AACUAUUGUUAUCAAUUUCAGCUCAGCAUAGACCGAAGCGAUGCUUGUAGUAUGGCUGACUCAAAAGUGUCAUGAUUCUUAUGAAUUCAGACAAAAAACAUAAUAAACAAAACAAAAUAAAAUGUUUA
Sinocyclocheilus anshuiensis is the source of this 128-nucleotide long non-coding RNA. RefSeq lists it as uncharacterized. The record is from RefSeq and is a predicted model, not a curated record. The transcript is spliced from 3 exons. NCBI's taxonomy places the organism in Eukaryota, Metazoa, Chordata, Actinopteri, Cypriniformes, Cyprinidae.